UCGGGAAUAUUGCGCAAUGGAGGAAACUCUGACGCAGUGACGCCGCGUGCAGGAAGAAGGUUUUAGGAUUGUAAACUGCUUUAGACAGGGAAGAAAAAAAUGACAGUACCUGUAGAAUAAGCUCCGGCUAACUACGUGCCAGCAGCCGCGGUAAUACGUAGGGAGCGAGCGUUAUCCGGAAUUAUUGGGUGUAAAGGGUGCGUAGACGGGAAUGUAAGUUAGUUGUGAAAUCCCCGGGCUCAACCUGGGAACUGCUUUUGAAACGGUCAUGCUUGAAUCAUGGAGAGGGUAGCGGAAUUCCGAGUGUAGAGGUGAAAUUCGUAGAUAUUCGGAAGAACACCGGUGGCGAAGGCGGCUACCUGGCCAUGUAUUGACGCUCAGGUGCGAAAGCGUGGGGAGCAAACA
RNAcentral lists this ribosomal RNA (405 nucleotides) under uncultured bacterium. RNAcentral's name for it is "bacterial SSU rRNA". It matches the Rfam family "Bacterial small subunit ribosomal RNA", at positions 355 to 774 of the family's 1533-position model. The record is from RNAcentral.